CCUACGGGAGGCAGCAGUGAGGAAUAUUGGUCAAUGGGCGCGAGCCUGAACCAGCCAAGUCGCGUGAGGGAAGACGGUCCUAUGGAUUGUAAACCUCUUUUGUCGGGGAGCAAAAGACGCCACGCGUGGCGUUCCGAGAGUACCCGAAGAAAAAGCAUCGGCUAACCCCGUGCCAGCAGCCGCGGUAAUACGGAGGAUGAGAGCGUUAUCCGGAUUUAUUGGGUUAAAGGGGUGCGCAGGCGGAAGAUCAAGUCAGCGGGAAAAUUGAGAGGCUCAACCUCUUCGUGCCGUUGAAACUGGUUUUCUUGAGUGAGUGAGAGGUAUGCGGAAUGCGUGGUGUAGCGGUGAAAUGCAUAGAUAUCACGCAGAACUCCGAUGGCGAAGGCAGCAUACCGGCGCUCAACUGACGCUCAUGCACGAAAGUGUGGGUAUCGAACAGGAUUAGAUACCCGAGUAGUC
RNAcentral lists this ribosomal RNA (459 nucleotides) under uncultured bacterium. RNAcentral describes it as "partial 16S ribosomal RNA". It matches the Rfam family "Bacterial small subunit ribosomal RNA", at positions 338 to 795 of the family's 1533-position model. The record is from RNAcentral.